RNAcentral lists this ribosomal RNA (497 nucleotides) under uncultured bacterium. Its description in RNAcentral is "partial 16S ribosomal RNA". It matches the Rfam family "Bacterial small subunit ribosomal RNA", at positions 28 to 507 of the family's 1533-position model. The record is from RNAcentral.
GAUGAACGCUGGCGGCGUGCCUAAUACAUGCAAGUCGAGCGAACAGAUGAGGAGCUUGCUCCUCUGACGUUAGCGGCGGACGGGUGAGUAACACGUGGAUAACCUACCUAUAAGACUGUGAUAACUUCGGGAAACCGGAGCUAAUACCGGAUAAUAUAUUGAACCGCAUGGUUCAAUAGUGAAAUACGGUUUUGCUGUCACUUAUAGAUUGAUCCGCGCCGCAUUAGCUAGUUGGUAAGGUAACGGCUUACCAAGGCAACGAUGCGUAGCCGACCUGAGAGGGUGAUCGGCCACACUGGAACUGAGACACGGUCCAGACUCCUACGGGAGGCAGCAGUAGGGAAUCUUACGCAAUGGGCGAAAGCAUGACGGAGCAACGCCGCGUGAGUGAUGAAGGUCUUCGGAUCGUAAAGCUCUGUUAUUAGGGAAGAACAAAUGUGUAAGUAACUAUGCACGUCUUGACGGUACCUAAUCAGAAAGCCACGGCUAACUACGUG